CAGGUCUAGAGCCCCACAGAAAAUUUGUAUUUCCAUUCAAACUCUUGCAGAAGCAACAUCCAAAAUUAGAAAUGAAAAUUAGUAAAUAUCUGAUAAAUAAUAAAUAUUAGAUAAAUAAAUAAAUAUCUGAUAAAUAUUUAGAAGGCGUUCUCUCUCGGAGAGAUGUAUGACACACUCUUGAUGACUUGUAAGGGAUAUUGUCCAAAAUAUCCAGAGCUAGAACUUGAACUGGACCAAUCGACAGGAAAAUAAUCGACAAAGGGAAGCAUAAAUAGGAACUUAUUUGCCAAGUAUUAUAUAUUUUGAUAAACUAUAUUUUGUAAUAAAAUUGUACAAAAAAUGUA
Molecule: small RNA, 344 nt
Filed under: Drosophila ananassae
Lineage: Eukaryota; Metazoa; Arthropoda; Insecta; Diptera; Drosophilidae
Description: GF27134
Source: RNAcentral